ACAAAUGUAGAAAGAUGAAGAAACUGAACAAAACGUUCAAAGAACCACUAAUGUCUUUACCUAUGUCCUAACAAUUGAUGCCAAUAUCCUUUGCACUAGGCCAUUCAACCUAGUGGGAGAAUGUAUCUUUCCUUUGACGAGUCUUUCAGC
Long non-coding RNA from Hibiscus syriacus, 150 nucleotides. RefSeq lists it as uncharacterized. NCBI's taxonomy places the organism in Eukaryota, Viridiplantae, Streptophyta, Magnoliopsida, Malvales, Malvaceae. The transcript has 3 exons. The record is from RefSeq and is a predicted model, not a curated record.